GUACACGCUGUGACUAGCAUAUCAAUAAGCGGAGGAAAAGAAACUAACAAGGAUUCCCCUAGUAACGGCGAGUGAAGCAGGAAGAGCUCAAAUUUGAAAUCUUAAAGGGUUUCCCUUUACGAAUUGUAGUUUAAAGAAGUGUUUUCUGUUGAGGUUUUGGUAAAAGUUCUUUGGAAUAGGACAUCAUAGAGGGUGAGAAUCCCGUAUUUGACCUUUACUUUCAACUUUGUGAUACACUUUCAAAGAGUCGGAUUGUUUGGGAAUGCAGUCCAAAAUGGGUGGUAAAUUUCAUCUAAAGCUAAAUAUUGGCGAGAGACCGAUAGCGAACAAGUACCGUGAGGGAAAGAUGAAAAGAACUUUGAAAAGAGAGUUAAACAGUACGUGAAAUUGUCAAAAGGGAAGCGUUUGACACCAGUGUUGUUUUUCUGAAAAUCAAUUAAAGAACUGUUUAUGCUAAGUUGUUUAGACUUUAUCAGCUAACUGUUUAGUUUUGAGCUUUUCUUUAAUGCACUUUUCAGUUAACAAGUCAACAUCAAUUUCUUUUGCUGUAAAAAAGCUUGAGGAAGGUGGCUUGAGAUUCGUCUUAAGUGUUUAUAGCCUCUUGCCUAUGCAGUCGGAGAGAUUGAGGUCUGCAGCGUAGAUCCUUCGGGGCUAAAUGCAUUUGUGCUAAGUUAUAACAUUUUAUAGACAUACUUGUUGACUAUGAUUUGUCUUGUAGCUUACUCGCUUAUGUUAUUUUACCUACGCUUAGGAUGUUGAAGUCAUCGUAUCGCGC
Molecule: ribosomal RNA, 775 nt
Filed under: uncultured Neocallimastigales
Lineage: Eukaryota; Fungi; Neocallimastigomycota; Neocallimastigomycetes; Neocallimastigales
Description: partial large subunit ribosomal RNA
Rfam family: Eukaryotic large subunit ribosomal RNA
Source: RNAcentral